AGAGCGAACGCUGGCGGCAGGCUUAACACAUGCAAGUCGAGCGGGCGUAGCAAUACGUCAGCGGCAGACGGGUGAGUAACGCGUGGGAACGUACCUUUUGGUUCGGAACAACACAGGGAAACUUGUGCUAAUACCGGAUAAGCCCUUACGGGGAAAUAUUUAUCGCCAAAAGAUCGGCCCGCGUCUGAUUAGCUAGUUGGUGAGGUAACGGCUCACCAAGGCGACGAUCAGUAGCUGGUCUGAGAGGAUGAUCAGCCACAUUGGGACUGAGACACGGCCCAAACUCCUACGGGAGGCAGCAGUGGGAAUAUUGGACAAUGGGCGCAAGCCUGAUCCAGCCAUGCCGCGUGAGUGAUGAAGGCCCUAGGGUUGUAAAGCUCUUUUGUGCGGGAAGAUAAUGACGGUACCGCAAGAAUAAGCCCCGGCUAACUUCGCGCCAGCAGCCGC
This 447-nucleotide ribosomal RNA is filed under the name uncultured bacterium. Its description in RNAcentral is "SSU rRNA". It matches the Rfam family "Bacterial small subunit ribosomal RNA", at positions 26 to 518 of the family's 1533-position model. The record is from RNAcentral.